Molecule: small nuclear RNA, 131 nt
Filed under: Mus caroli (Ryukyu mouse)
Lineage: Eukaryota; Metazoa; Chordata; Mammalia; Rodentia; Muridae
Source: RNAcentral
GUGCUCUCUUCGGCAGCACAUAUACUAAAAUUGGAAUGAUAAAAAGAAGAUUAGCAUGGUCCCUGAGCAAGGAUGACACGCAAAUUCGUGAAGCAUUCCAUAUUAGAGAGAGAGAGAGAGAGAGAGAGAGA